Molecule: ribosomal RNA, 402 nt
Filed under: uncultured bacterium
Lineage: Bacteria
Description: bacterial SSU rRNA
Rfam family: Bacterial small subunit ribosomal RNA
Source: RNAcentral
UGAGGAAUAUUGCACAAUGGGCGAAAGCCUGAUGCAGCGACGCCGCGUGGGUGAAGAAGGUUUUCGGAUCGUAAAACCCUUUUCUGUGUGACGAGAGAGGACGGUAGCACAGGAAUAAGUCUCGGCUAACUACGUGCCAGCAGCCGCGGUAAAACGUAGGAGACAAACGUUAUCCGGAGUUACUGGGGCGUAAAGGGCGUGCAGGCGGCAGCCUAAGUCUGGCGUGAAAUAUCCCGGCUUAACCGGGGAGAGGUCGUCGGAUACUGGGCAGCUAGAGGGCGGUAGAGGCGUGUGGAAUUCCGGGUGUAGUGUGAAAUGCGUAGAGAUCCGGAGGAACACCGAGUGGCGAAGGCGACACGCUGGGCCGCACCUGACGCUAAGACGCGACAGCAUGGGGAGCGA